This 514-nucleotide ribosomal RNA is filed under the name Blastocystis hominis. RNAcentral's name for it is "SSU rRNA". It matches the Rfam family "Eukaryotic small subunit ribosomal RNA", at positions 55 to 594 of the family's 1831-position model. The record is from RNAcentral. Lineage: Eukaryota; Bigyra; Opalinata; Blastocystidae.
AUGUGUAAGUAUAAAUAGUUAACUUUGAAACUGCGAAUGGCUCAUUAUAUCAGUUAUAGUUUAUUUGAUGAAGAAUACUAAUUGGAUAACCGUAGUAAUUCUAGAGCUAAUACAUGUAUAAAGUCUUGUAGACUGCAUUUAUUAGAAUGAAAACCAUAGGUUUCGGCCUAUUCGUGAGUAAUAAUAACUAAUCAUAUCGUAUGCUUAUGUAACGAUGUGUCUUUCAAGUUUCUGCCCUAUCAGCUUUCCAUGGUAGUGUAUUGGACUACCAUGGCAGUAACGGGUAACGAAGAAUUUGGGUUCGAUUUCGGAAAGGGAGCCUGAGAGAUGGCUACCACAUCCCAGGAAGGCAGCAGGCGCGUAAAUUACCCAAUCCUGACACAGGGAGGUAGUGACAAUAAAUCACAAUGCGGAACAAUGUUUUGCAAUUGGAUUGAAAACAACGUACAAACCUUAUCGAUAAACAAUUGGAGGGCAAGUCUGGUGCCAGCAGCCGCGGUAAUUCCAGCUCCCA